UGCUUGUCAACUUUGAAAUCCUUGACUGA
Molecule: non-coding RNA, 29 nt
Filed under: Mus musculus (house mouse)
Lineage: Eukaryota; Metazoa; Chordata; Mammalia; Rodentia; Muridae
Source: RNAcentral